CUCUGCUGGAUCCAAGGUUCUCCCUCUGUCACCCAGAGCUGGAGUGCGGUGGCAUAAUCACAGCUAAUUGCAGCCUCAACAUUCCAGGCCCAAGGAUCCUCCCUUCAGCCUUCCAGGUAGCUGGGACCACAGAGUCGGGGGUCUCCCUAUGUUUCCCAGGCUGGCCUCGAACUCCUGACCUCAAGUGAUCCUCCCACCUCAGCCUCCCCGAGUGCUGGGAUUAAAGACGUGAGCCACGGCACCUGGCCUGAAUUUUCCUCAAAUUCAAAAAAUCCUGAUGAAGGUUUGGCUAAAAUCUUUGGUGAGUUACCCCACUCCCUGUGGAACCUCAGGCUGGAUUUGAAGAGUUGCGUGCAUGGUCCUCAUUGUCUCCCAGAUGAAAUUGUGCUCCAAGUGUUUUCCAAGGUUCCGUAUGACCCAUCAUUUGAUGAAACAAGAACAGCAGUCAGAUCCAUUACAAAGAGAGACACACAAAAAAGCUAUUCCCAACAGAAGAGCUUGAACAAUGCUGCAUUUGCAUCAGGUUCAAAUGAGCGAGAGGAACAUUUGGCUAAAAUAUUUGGAACCAGCAUUGCUUGGAAUUCUCCUAAACCAGAAUAUUUCCUUGGCAGUGUGGACAAAAUUCCUGAUAAAGAGAUGGGGUUUCACUGUGUUAGCCAGGAUGGUCUCGAUCUCCUGACCUCAUGAUCCGCCCGCCUCGGCCUCCCAAAGUGCUGGGAUUACAGGCGUGAACCACCAUGCCCGGCCCAGAAUGUCCUUUCUUUUCGAAGCGGAGUAAUAUUCCAUUAUCACCUUUCAGAGGAGAAGAAU
This 810-nucleotide small RNA is filed under the name Homo sapiens (human). RNAcentral describes it as "chromosome 2 open reading frame 92 (ENSG00000291598.1)". The record is from RNAcentral. Lineage: Eukaryota; Metazoa; Chordata; Mammalia; Primates; Hominidae.